AUGAACAAUCGCCGCCCACUUUGGUGCACUUGGACCGCGUACUCUGCACCUCGGAUUGGGAAGGCGCGCACGCAGACUGCCACUUGCGUUGCCUCGCGUCCGUCGUGUCAGACCACAGCCCACUCUUGCUCGAUUGCUCACCUACGCACACGGCGAGACGACGCUUCCAUUUUGAAGACUACUGGAUGCGCCUACCUGGGUUCCACGACACGGUGGCCACGGCAUGGGGAUCGGUCCAUGACUCGGAUCCUUUCCGUCGCUUGA
RNAcentral lists this ribosomal RNA (264 nucleotides) under Triticum aestivum (bread wheat). RNAcentral's name for it is "partial small subunit ribosomal RNA". Lineage: Eukaryota; Viridiplantae; Streptophyta; Magnoliopsida; Poales; Poaceae. The record is from RNAcentral.